UACAGAGGUCUCAAGCGUUGUUCGGAUUCAUUGGGCGUAAAGGGUGCGUAGGUGGUGAUGCAAGUCUGGUGUGAAAUCUCGGAGCUUAACUCCGAAAUUGCACCGGAUACUGCGUUGCUCGAGGACUGUAGAGGAGAUCGGAAUUCACGGUGUAGCAGUGAAAUGCGUAGAUAUCGUGAGGAAGACCAGUUGCGAAGGCGGAUCUCUGGACAGUUCCUGACGCUGAGGCACGAAGGCCAGGGGAGCAAACGGG
Molecule: ribosomal RNA, 253 nt
Filed under: uncultured bacterium
Lineage: Bacteria
Description: partial 16S ribosomal RNA
Rfam family: Bacterial small subunit ribosomal RNA
Source: RNAcentral